Molecule: ribosomal RNA, 392 nt
Filed under: uncultured bacterium
Lineage: Bacteria
Description: bacterial SSU rRNA
Rfam family: Bacterial small subunit ribosomal RNA
Source: RNAcentral
GACGAACGCUGGCGGCGUGCUUAACACAUGCAAGUCGAGCGGUAAGGCCCUUUCGGGGGUACACGAGCGGCGAACGGGUGAGUAACACGUGGGUGACCUGCCCUCAGCUCUGGGAUAAGCCUGGGAAACCGGGUCUAAUACUGGAUAUGACUCCAUGACGCAUGUUGUGGGGUGGAAAGCCUUGUGCGGCUGAGGAUGGGCCCGCGGCCUAUCAGCUUGUUGGUGGGGGUGAGGCCUACCAAGGCGACGACGGGUAGCCGGCCUGAGAGGGCGACCGGCCACACUGGGACUGAGACACGGCCCAGACUCCUACGGGAGGGCAGCAGUGGGGAAUCUUGCGCAAUGGGCGAAAGCCUGACGCAGCGACGCCGCGUGAGGGAUGACGGCCUCGG